RNAcentral lists this ribosomal RNA (441 nucleotides) under uncultured bacterium. Its description in RNAcentral is "bacterial SSU rRNA". It matches the Rfam family "Bacterial small subunit ribosomal RNA", at positions 37 to 479 of the family's 1533-position model. The record is from RNAcentral.
CGCGGCGGCAGGCUUAACACAUACAAGUCGAGCGGGGGAAGGUAGCUUGCUACUGGACCUAGCGGGGGAAGGGUGAGUAACGCUUAGGAAUCUGCCUCUUAGUGGGGGACAACAUCUCGAAAGGGAUGCUAAUACCGCAUACGUCCUACGGGAGAAAGCAGGGGAUCUUCGGACCUUGCGCUAAUAGAUGAGCCUAAGUGGGAUUAGCUAGUUGGUGGGGUAAAGGCCUACCAAGGCGACGAUCUGUAGCGGGUCUGAGAGGAUGAUCCGCCACACUGGGAAUGAGACACGGCCCAGACUCCUACGGGAGGCAGCAGUGGGGAAUAUUGGACAAUGGGGGGAACCCUGAUCCAGCCAUGCCGCGUGUGGAAGAAGGCCUUAUGGUUGUAAAGCACGUAAGCGAGGAGGAGGCUACUUUAGUUAAUACCUAGAGAUAGUGAC